UUUCCGUAGGUGAACCUGCGGAAGGAUCAUUAUCGUAUAAUCGAGGUCAGGGGGCUGUCUCUGACUUGAUAGGUCGUGCACGCCCGAGUGCCCUCACACACCUCCAUCUCACCCCUAUGUGCAAUCCCGCGUGGGACCCCCCUAGGCAUGUGCGGAGGGUGGCUUAAGUUUUCACACAAUCAUUGUAUGCUGUGUAGACUGUAUCUUUUGUUAUUGAGACCACGCAUCCAAAAAACCUUUCAACAAAGGACCUCUUGGCUCUCGUAUCGCUGAUGACCG
This 279-nucleotide unclassified non-coding RNA is filed under the name plant metagenome. RNAcentral describes it as "partial contains small subunit ribosomal RNA, internal transcribed spacer 1, and 5.8S ribosomal RNA". The record is from RNAcentral.